CUCGUUUCCCAGUACGUGAUUGAGAACAUGUGAAUGAAUCCGCGGGGACUGAACUGCCGCUGACCCCCAGGGAGCUGGGGGGGGGUUUGGUGAGCUGCGCUUCAGCCGCUAAAGCUCCUGCGGUUCCUCCUGACGGCUGAUAAGGAGGGAUCGAGUUUAUGAAAGAGAUGAAGAUGUUUGGAUAAGGCCCUGGAAUCGUGAGAACUUCCAAUGACUUGGCAAAUCGCUCUGAAUCACUGACGUUUGGCGGCCACCUCCACCCAUGCCUGUCCCUUGCCUGCUCCCUCGCCGGGUGUCAGUUCUCGAGCCUACGUGCUGAGAAGAGAAGUUAAAAAGGUAAAAGUCUGUAAUCUGAUCCCACGGUGACCUGUCUAAUCCUGUUCCCUGGUACAGUGAGAGCUGAAAUACUUGUACUGCAAAACAAUGGCUUGAGGAGGCUACGGAAGGAAGAUGAGAAUCUGCA
RNAcentral lists this long non-coding RNA (463 nucleotides) under Cairina moschata (Muscovy duck). Its description in RNAcentral is "domestica (muscovy Duck (domestic type)) lncRNA (ENSCMMG00000008881.1)". Lineage: Eukaryota; Metazoa; Chordata; Aves; Anseriformes; Anatidae. The record is from RNAcentral.